RNAcentral lists this ribosomal RNA (709 nucleotides) under uncultured beta proteobacterium. RNAcentral's name for it is "bacterial SSU rRNA". It matches the Rfam family "Bacterial small subunit ribosomal RNA", at positions 9 to 711 of the family's 1533-position model. Lineage: Bacteria; Pseudomonadati; Pseudomonadota; Betaproteobacteria. The record is from RNAcentral.
GAGUUUGAUCCUGGCUCAGAUUGAACGCUAGCGGGAUGCCUUACACAUGCAAGUCGAACGGCAGCACGGACUUGGUCUGGUGGCGAGUGGCGAACGGGUGAGUAAUGUAUCGGAACGUGCCCAGUAGCGGGGGAUAACUACGCGAAAGCGUAGCUAAUACCGCAUACGCCCUACGGGGGAAAGCAGGGGAUCGCAAGACCUUGCACUAUUGGAGCGGCCGAUAUCGGAUUAGCUAGUUGGUGGGGUAACGGCUCACCAAGGCGACGAUCCGUAGCUGGUUUGAGAGGACGACCAGCCACACUGGGACUGAGACACGGCCCAGACUCCUACGGGAGGCAGCAGUGGGGAAUUUUGGACAAUGGGGGAAACCCUGAUCCAGCCAUCCCGCGUGUGCGAUGAAGGCCUUCGGGUUGUAAAGCACUUUUGGCAGGAAAGAAACGUCAUGGGUUAAUACCCCGUGAAACUGACGGUACCUGCAGAAUAAGCACCGGCUAACUACGUGCCAGCAGCCGCGGUAAUACGUAGGGUGCAAGCGUUAAUCGGAAUUACUGGGCGUAAAGCGUGCGCAAGCGGUUCGGAAAGAAAGAUGUGAAAAUCCCAGAGCUUAACUUUUGGAACUGCAUUUUUAACUACCGGGCUAAAGUGUGUCAAAAGGAGGUUGGAAUUCCGCGUGGUAGCAAUAAAUGCGUAGAUAUGCGGGAGGACACCU